UGAGUAACCUGCCCUUCACUCAGGGAUAACUCCGGGAAACCGGGGCUAAUACUGGAUAUGACUCGAACAGGCAUCUGUUUCGGGUGGAAAGAUUUAUUGGUGGAGGAUGGACUCGCGGCCUAUCAGCUUGUUGGUGAGGUAAUGGCUCACCAAGGCGACGACGGGUAGCCGGCCUGAGAGGGCGAUCGGCCACACUGGGACUGAGACACGGCCCAGACUCCUACGGGAGCA
RNAcentral lists this ribosomal RNA (231 nucleotides) under uncultured bacterium. RNAcentral describes it as "partial 16S ribosomal RNA". It matches the Rfam family "Bacterial small subunit ribosomal RNA", at positions 118 to 347 of the family's 1533-position model. The record is from RNAcentral.